Lathyrus oleraceus (garden pea) is the source of this 654-nucleotide long non-coding RNA. RefSeq lists it as uncharacterized. The record is from RefSeq and is a predicted model, not a curated record. NCBI's taxonomy places the organism in Eukaryota, Viridiplantae, Streptophyta, Magnoliopsida, Fabales, Fabaceae. The transcript has 2 exons.
GUUCAAAUCAUAACACGAAGAUUCAAACCUAAAACGGCCGGAAACAGACUUCCUUCGUCGCGCCGGAAUCAGACUUCCUUCGUCGCGCCGGAAUCAGACUUCCUUCGUCUCCUCUGGCGGCGGCGGAGGUCGUAUCACCACCAUGAUCACAUCCUUAGAACCGUCUCGAUAUGCUAUAUCCGCAUCCUAAGUCCAUUUCUACAAAUUCCACUUUGAAUACUCAAAUUGAUUACAACAUAAUAUAAACCCUAAGAGCUUGGAGAUGAAAUUAAAUGGCGAAUUCGCGUGGAAUCAAAUGAUAAAGUUAGGGUUAUUUCUCCUCAGAAGGAUCUCUACACGAUGAUAACAAGCUCACGACGAAAAGACGGAAGAAAGAGUAACUCCGAUGUGGAGGCUUCGGCGAGAAGAUAAAUAGAAGAAGAUGAACCAGAAUUAGGCCCAAGACUGAUUUUCUAUGACAUGGCAAGUGGAUGCAUGUGGAGGCCUUUGGAGGUGCAAUGAAAUGGUGGCUGCAAAUUCGAUGAAAUAGCCCUUUUCUUCUUAAUUUUAAUCAAUGUGUUCAAAUGAUAAUGUGAUGUAAUAAAAAUAGGGAUUGACUUAUUGUAAAGAUGAUUUCAAUGCAAUGUUAAUGUUUAUGACCAAUGCAAAUCAAAA